GAUGAACGCUGGCGGCGUGCCUAAUACAUGCAAGUCGAGCGAACAGACGAGGAGCUUGCUCCUCUGACGUUAGCGGCGGACGGGUGAGUAACACGUGGAUAACCUACCUAUAAGACUGGGAUAACUUCGGGAAACCGGAGCUAAUACCGGAUAAUAUAUUGAACCGUAUGGUUCAAUAGUGAAAGACGGUUUUGCUGUCGCUUAUAGAUGGAUCCGCGCCGCAUUAGCUAGUUGGUAAGGUAACGGCUUACCAAGGCAACGAUGCGUAGCCGACCUGAGAGGGUGAUCGGCCACACUGGAACUGAGACACGGUCCAGACUCCUACGGGAGGCAGCAGUAGGGAAUCUUCCGCAAUGGGCGAAAGCCUGACGGAGCAACGCCGCGUGAGUGAUGAAGGUCUUCGGAUCGUAAAACUCUGUUAUUAGGGAAGAACAAAUGUGUAAGUAACUAUGCACGUCUUGACGGUACCUAAUCAGAAAGCCACGGCUAACUACGUG
This 497-nucleotide ribosomal RNA is filed under the name uncultured bacterium. Its description in RNAcentral is "partial 16S ribosomal RNA". It matches the Rfam family "Bacterial small subunit ribosomal RNA", at positions 28 to 507 of the family's 1533-position model. The record is from RNAcentral.